CAGCGCCACAAGUGGUGGCCGUAUAUUUGGCCUAAAGCGUCCGUAGCUGGUUAGUUAAAUCUCUUGUGAAAUCGUUGGGCUCAACCCAACGGCGUGCAGGAGACACUGACUAACUUGAGACUGGGAGGAGUCAGAGGUAUUCUUUGGGGAGCGGUAAAAUGCUAUAAUCCUUAGAAGACCACCGAUGGCGAAGGCAUCUGACCAGAACAGAUCUGACAGUGAGGGACGAAAGCCAGGGGAGCGAUCCGGAUUAGAUACCCGAGUAGUCC
RNAcentral lists this ribosomal RNA (269 nucleotides) under uncultured archaeon. RNAcentral's name for it is "partial 16S ribosomal RNA". It matches the Rfam family "Archaeal small subunit ribosomal RNA", at positions 477 to 747 of the family's 1478-position model. The record is from RNAcentral.